This 518-nucleotide long non-coding RNA is filed under the name Setaria viridis. RNAcentral's name for it is "long non-coding RNA (SVIR_LNC010231)". Lineage: Eukaryota; Viridiplantae; Streptophyta; Magnoliopsida; Poales; Poaceae. The record is from RNAcentral.
CUUGCAAUUUGGAAUGGAGGGAGUAGUAUAUAUGCAAUUGAGGUUGUAUAUAAUCAUUAAAGAAAGGAAAACAUGGAACUAAGAAGGCUAGGAUGUGUGAAAUCAGUUGACUUAUACCAUAUGGCUUUAUACUAACACAAGGUAAGUGGUUGGAACAAUAUAAUGUGACUUGAUGACUGAAUAGAGCAUAUAGAACAUAAAUGAAAUACUUUAAGAAACACGUGCUCUUUUUAUGUCAAGUAAGUAUUCUAAUGUUUCAUUAUUGGGGUACCUAAGUUGGUUAUAAGAUACCUAAGCCUACUCAUGUUUACAAACUUGCAUAACAUAAGGAAAGAAGUAUAAAAGAUAAGAGGAAGUGCACACAUGUAUAAAAUUUAUGACAAUAGCAACAAAUGUAGGAACUUACCAUUCUUUUUAUUUUAAUCAUACUCUAUUUGUAAUUUUCCUUGAGAUGAUCUUGUGGCCUUUUGAUAAGGCGUCUCAUUUAUUAUCCCUCUACUACGCAAACUUUCAUGCUU